UGAACGCUGGCGGUAGGCCUAACACAUGCAAGUCGCACGGCAGCACAGUAAGAGCUUGCUCUUACGGGUGGCGAGUGGCGGACGGGUGAGGAAUACAUCGGAAUCUACUUUUUCGUGGGGGAUAACGUAGGGAAACUUACGCUAAUACCGCAUACGACCUACGGGUGAAAGCAGGGGAUCUUCGGACCUUGCGCGAUUGAAUGAGCCGAUGUCGGAUUAGCUAGUUGGCGGGGUAAAGGCCCACCAAGGCGACGAUCCGUAGCUGGUCUGAGAGGAUGAUCAGCCACACUGGAACUGAGACACGGUCCAGACUCCUACGGGAGGCAGCAGUGGGGAAUAUUGGACAAUGGGCGCAAGCCUGAUCCAGCCAUACCGCGUGGGUGAAGAAGGCCUUCGGGUUGUAAAGCCCUUUUGUUGGGAAAGAAAAGCAGCAGGUUAAUACCCCGCUGUUCUGACGGUACCCAAAGAAUAAGCACCGGCUAACUUCGUG
Molecule: ribosomal RNA, 490 nt
Filed under: uncultured bacterium
Lineage: Bacteria
Description: partial 16S ribosomal RNA
Rfam family: Bacterial small subunit ribosomal RNA
Source: RNAcentral